RNAcentral lists this long non-coding RNA (569 nucleotides) under Lupinus angustifolius (narrow-leaved blue lupine). RNAcentral's name for it is "long non-coding RNA (LANG_LNC000549)". Lineage: Eukaryota; Viridiplantae; Streptophyta; Magnoliopsida; Fabales; Fabaceae. The record is from RNAcentral.
UCAUUUAACCACAAACAAGUUUAUUAUAUGUAGUACGUGUAAAAAAUAUACAAUAUACCAACAGGGUUAAUGAUCGAUAAAUAAAAAUACAAAUAUGUACCAUUAACCCUCAAUACAUUUGGUAAAUGGUACAUUUCUUUAAGCUAAGCAUGAAGAAUUUGACUCCAGCAUCUAUAUGAAAAUAACUAUAUUAAAAGAAAUAUAAGUAACUUUGACAAUCCUAUAUUUCAAAAAGAAAUUAAUAUUAUCAAUAGUGGAAUAUAUCCUUGAUGCAAUAUUGUUGACUUAGAAAUCAUAUUUCUUCAUCUUGAAUCAUAAGCUACUUCAACAUUUCUUUCUAGAAGAACAGCCAGUGUUAUAAAUUGGUUUCUUGAAGUGAGGUUUCUGAUAUUUUUCACAACCAGCCAUUCUAUUUCCAGUUAUUUUACAUAACUCACCUUUUAUGUUCAAACCCAUGACACCUUGGUUGAGCAUAGCCAUACUUAGAAGAAGAGCACAAAGAAACAAAACCUUCAUUUUAAAGUUGAUGUUUUGAUCUUCUUUAUGCUCUAUUAUACUUUGAAAAUUGC